AGUUGCCAGUUGUUAUUAUUGUUACGGUGAAUGUGUCCAUAAAAAUUACACGUCUUAUCAUUCUGAGAAAUUAUUUCAUUGUUAUUUAUUUUACUUGUAAGUGUUCUUACGUUACGAAUUAGAAAUAUGUGUUUAGAGGAAAGUAGUUGUUGUGCUCAACCAGGUCAAUCGUAUUUUUUUAAACAAGAGCUCAUGAAGAAGAAACUGUGCUCAUAGACAUUACAACAGAUACGCAUCCUUCAGAGCAAUUUGGAAUGCAUGCCUUCAUAGCAUAGCACCCACAGACGUCCACUAGGUACUGGAUAUAAGCCUCCCCCAAGUUUCGCCACAACUGUCGGUACUGUGCUGCCUACGUCCCACGGAUCCCCGCGAGCCCAAUAGUUGGUCGGUCCGCCCUGUGGGACGUCUACCCAUGCUUCCAGUACGCAUUCGCCAUUCGAGAACCUUUAGUAAAAAUACAUAGGUUAUGGAAAAUGUUAUGGAAAAAGCGACAUCUAUAAAAUCAUAGAAGAACUACGUGUUGAAGUGCACACAAACCCGGUUGCUUCAUAAUUAAUGUUACCUUAAUUUGUACGCCAUCUGUGCUAUUUUACAUGAAGCUUUAGCAUUAAAUUCUUUGUUCGUUAAACUUUUAAAAGUUAAAUAAAUUGAAAGAGAGCAGUAAUUUGUUUUUGUGAACAAAAAGAGAUGGCGCUGAGCUAAAGAUGUUUUGAAAAAAAUUCUGCUUGAAAUUAAUACUCAAAAUAUGUACCCCUUCUUGAAUUUCUAUUAAAAUUUAACUUAAAAUAUUUGUGGACCUUGGUUUUUAUCAACAAAGACGAUGUACCUAGUAAUUCAUAAUAUUACGUUUAAGUAAAAAUUUUCAAAUGCGGCUUUAUCAGCAGGAAAGGUUAAUAAAUAUUAUUUAAUCUCGAAGAAGGUCAAUAAAAAUAAAAUAAGAAAUCAAUGGCUUAAUAUUUUUUAUUGUUCUGAAUUUGAAAAUGGCUGUAAAUCAAACAUUAACACAGUUCCCACAGUCAACUCGUAGUUCCUGCACCAAUACAAAGAUGGCACUAUUUACAAUAAAAUUAAGCCAGAUCCUUCAAAAUUAGCUACACAAUUGAAAAAAAAUAUGUUCUUUUUAUAGUUGAAAGAGAAUAUAAUAAUAUUAUGUAUAUAAAUUGAGUAUGUUCUAUUUUUUUAUUGCAAUAAAAAAUGGAAAAUUUA
Long non-coding RNA from Bombyx mori (domestic silkworm), 1206 nucleotides. RefSeq lists it as uncharacterized. The record is from RefSeq and is a predicted model, not a curated record. The transcript has 3 exons. Lineage: Eukaryota; Metazoa; Arthropoda; Insecta; Lepidoptera; Bombycidae.